AUGCCUUUACUUGGUUUUUUCCAUUCUGAGCCCGGGAAUGGACUUUGGAAGCGCAAAGCCGAUUCUGCUUUCCAAACUUGCACGACAGUAAAAUCAUUUCUUGAAGAAACUAUGGUAGCAAUUCCAGACUCGGUUUUGGACUCUUCGUUUGCGAAAUCACCGCCUGGGCGUGAAGAUCUUUUUGCUAACAUUGACAGUUUAUUGCCUCUUCCAUACAGAACAAGAGAUGAGGAUUCUGUUUACAUGCAUUAG
Molecule: non-coding RNA, 252 nt
Organism: Vicia faba (fava bean)
Lineage: Eukaryota; Viridiplantae; Streptophyta; Magnoliopsida; Fabales; Fabaceae
Source: the annotation of a GenBank genome assembly